RNAcentral lists this ribosomal RNA (439 nucleotides) under uncultured bacterium. RNAcentral describes it as "partial 16S ribosomal RNA". It matches the Rfam family "Bacterial small subunit ribosomal RNA", at positions 339 to 795 of the family's 1533-position model. The record is from RNAcentral.
CUACGGGGCGCUCCAGUGGGGAAUAUUGCACAAUGGAGGAAACUCUGAUGCAGCAACGCCGCGUGGAGGAUGACACUUUUCGGAGCGUAAACUCCUUUUAUAUAGGAAGAAGAUGACGGUACCAUAUGAAUAAGCGCCGGCUAACUCCGUGCCAGCAGCCGCGGUAAUACGGAGGGCGCAAGCGUUACUCGGAAUCACUGGGCGUAAAGAGCGUGUAGGCGGAUUAAAAAGUCAGAAGUGAAAUCCUAUAGCUUAACUAUAGAACUGCUUCUGAAACUCUUAAUCUAGAAUAUGGGAGAGGUAGAUGGAAUUUCUGGUGUAGGGGUAAAAUCCGUAGAGAUUAGAAGGAAUACCGAUUGCGAAGGCGAUCUACUAGAACAUUAUUGACGCUGAGACGCGAAAGCGUGGGGAGCAAACAGGAUUAGAUACCCGGGUAGUC